Molecule: ribosomal RNA, 396 nt
Filed under: Halobacillus sp.
Lineage: Bacteria; Bacillati; Bacillota; Bacilli; Caryophanales; Bacillaceae
Description: bacterial SSU rRNA
Rfam family: Bacterial small subunit ribosomal RNA
Source: RNAcentral
CACGCCGCGUGAACGAUGAAGGUCUUCGGAUCGUAAAGUUCUGUUGUUAGGGAAGAACAAGUACCGUGCGAAUAGAGCGGUACCUUGACGGUACCUAACGAGGAAGCCCCGGCUAACUACGUGCCAGCAGCCGCGGUAAUACGUAGGGGGCAAGCGUUGUCCGGAAUUAUUGGGCGUAAAGCGCGCGCAGGCGGUUCCUUAAGUCUGAUGUGAAAGCCCACGGCUCAACCGUGGAGGGUCAUUGGAAACUGGGGAACUUGAGGACAGAAGAGGAGAGUGGAAUUCCACGUGUAGCGGUGAAAUGCGUAGAUAUGUGGAGGAACACCAGUGGCGAAGGCGACUCUCUGGUCUGUUUCUGACGCUGAGGUGCGAAAGCGUGGGUAGCAAACAGGAUUA